ACUGUGCAUGGACAGCCCCAUGAUCUUAGUGGAUGCUUAGGAAAUCUGUGUUGAGUUCAUUACAUACAACUCUAUCUAGGAGUUUGUCAUGCCAAUAGCACAUGGGCACCUGCUCACUCUUAAGAGCCAGUCCUUUGAAGGGUAGUGAGUGCUUCUAGGACAUUGGAAUUGAACAGAUGCUUGGUGCUAUGGAGUCUGGUUCAUUAGAGGGUUAGCUCAUUUCCUGGGAAGCAAAUAGGUGUUGCAGAAGUUGUUUCUUUACCCUUCUCGUAGUACAACAAAACGAAAUGUCUUAAAUAUUAUUAUUUAUAUUGUAGGUAAAUUCAACUGGAAGGGAACUAUUAAAGCAAUUCUGAAACAGGCCCCAGACAAUGAAAUAACCAUCAAAAAGCUAAGGAAAAAGGUUUUAGCUCAGUACUACACAGUGACAGAUGAGCAUCACAGAUCCGAAGAGGAACUCCUGGUCAUCUUUAACAAGAAAAUCAGCAAGAACCCUACCUUUAAGUUAUUAAAGGACAAAGUCAAGCUUGUGAAAUGAACAUUUGUGUAUUUAAAAAUUGAAUCCAUUCUGCUGACUUCUUCCUUUCACUGCUGUUUAUAAAAUGUGUAAUGAAUUCUAACAACUCAAAUUUUGCUUUUUGAAGCUGUAUUUUUAAGUUAAGAAAAUAUAUUUUUGGUAUAACUUUUAUGAGAAAAAUAAAAUAUAUUCUGGUCCAAACUUCUAAA
Molecule: long non-coding RNA, 726 nt
Filed under: Homo sapiens (human)
Lineage: Eukaryota; Metazoa; Chordata; Mammalia; Primates; Hominidae
Description: non-protein coding lnc-LYAR-2:1
Source: RNAcentral